ACAUAUGCACACACGGGACCAUCUGAACGGAGCCUUUCCAGAGCGCGCAGUAGGAGUGUUGGCUCACCCAGCUCCUGUACCCCACCCCGGAGCCCGGAGCCGGGCGCCAGCUGCUGCUGCUGCUGCUGCUGCUGCUGCAGCUCCUGGCGACUCACUGACCGCCUCCGGGGACACCCCGGAGCCCCGGAGCCAGCCUGACGAGCGGAGCGCAGCGGGGACCUCAAACACUGCUGACGCUUCCUCUCUAACUCACGCUGACGCUCACACACAGCCCACCGCCACACUCACGAGCACACAUCCCCGGCGGACACCCUGCACCAUCUGGGACUGGGAAUGGAAGGCCAGGCAGAGUGAGACGAGGUCGUUCAGUCCUCGGGGCUCUGGUUUGCUUCAAGUUCUUCUGCCCUGGCUCAGACUCCAAAAACACACAACUUCCCUCGGGGGGCCACAAGUUGUCCCGCGGGGAGUUUCACUGCCCCACAAGCUACAGCUUUGAGGUCGCAGGGGGUGUUAUUUCCCCCAUAAUUUCUAAAUUACAUGGGGUAUAGGGAAAGUGGCACCGGAAUUGGCACUCCGUAACUACCUCUACAUCCAAUCAAUCAAUAAGCAUUGAUUAAGGACUUGUACAUUUCUUCCAGGCUCUGUGCAAGGGGCUGCUCAGAGAAAGAUAAAAGUGAAACAGCUGCAACAGCUGGGGGAUGAGGUUAUGGGAAGAAAUGCUACUUAAAACUGUGCAGCAAUAUCAGCACCUCGAGCGUAAGGCCUUUCGUUAUAUCCCAGGUGCCUAGUACACCGUGUCUGUCACACAACAGGUGUUCAGCAAAUGAACGACAAAUGCAUGAUCGUGUUCAGACUCGGUGAGCCUGUCUGGCCUCAGUCUCCUCUUCUGUAAAAUGAGAGAAGCGCACUAGGUGGCAUGCACGGUGCCUUCCAACUCUAUGUCCGUGAUUUAGGAACUUCCGGUCCAUCACUCUGCUCACCUAUGAAACACCGGGGUUGGGUUAGAUGUUCUCUGAGGUGCUGUGAUCUUCUUCAGAAGCUGUCUAAGAGUUCACUCCAUUGCAGGGGUAUCUCUGUAUAACUUUGAAACAAAGUGGCUUGAUGAGAAUGGAGAAGACAAUGCAAAGACAGCAGACGCCUAAGCCCACAACCUUCCAAAAUCUCUUCAGAUGCUCUUAGCAGAGUCCGUGUACAUACUGCUCAAUCAGUGGUUGUUAACUGACUAAGGAUACCUAUAGAAAGAGAGACUGCUUGGUGUUACCUUCUUCCAGUGGAUCAAAGUACAUGAACAAACAGCUCUCAAAGGAAGAGUUGUAAUCUACCAACAAUCAGAUGUUCCAAAAUCAACAAAGAGAUGGCUUCCUUUCAUGUGAAUCCCACCCUUUCUGUGCAGGAAGGAGAAAGGACUGUGCUCAAGUCCUUGGAAGCCACUUCUGAUCCAGACAACUGCAGCUGCCUCAGUUGUACAAGACAUUCAAGGGUCUAGUCUUGGUGAGAUCAUUUGCAAAAGGGCUUGUUGGAGCUCUCCACUUUCUUUUUUAUUGUUCCUUUAAUGCUUUGUUUAUAUUUUUAAAUUCUGCAUCCCUUUGAUUUCUAAAUGCAUCCCUCUCCUAUCCCUACCCAACAAGCCAUUCUUUGUACCAGAGAGAGAAAGAGAAAGAGCUACUUUAGUAAAACUGACCAGCAUAUCAGCCACUUCCAACAGUUCCACAUCCAUUGUUCUCCACUUCUGCAAAGAAGAAUCCUUUCAUCUUUAUCCUGCAAUUGUAAAAAUCUAGUUCUAGCACUUAUUUGUUCCUUAGAUUAGAGGCUAGGGGAGAAGGCUGGACUUGGUUUGAAGGGAUUAAGAGGAAAAUGGGCAGAAUGCAUAGUGAGAGAAAAGAAUAUUUAACAAAAGGAAGGAAAAUGACUGAAUAAGAGGCUUGUGGGAGCUACUUCUCUGUGGUAUCAAACUUCUUGCCUCAUCAUCUCGUCCUUGAGUCCAUUCUCUGGAAGGUGCUGGGAUUUUAUGGUCAUAUGAUACAUCUGAGAGGUAGAGAUUCUGAUUCUGAGACUGGGCCUAAUGGACAUUCUAAGAUUAUUAAUGAAAUAAUAUUCAUCUAGAAACAAAGUAGAUUCCCAUUCAAUGGAAAAUGACAAAACUAAUUGGGGUACAUCAAUAUGAUGGCAUAUUUCCUUACUAUAAGAAGCAAUAAAUGUGAAAAAUUCAGAGAACCAUGGGAAGACUUAUGUGAACAGAUACAGAAGGAAAUAAGCAGAAUCAGGAAAAUGAUGUUCAUAAUUAUAACAACAUAAUUGGAAAUAACAAUGAAGACAACAAUUAAAACUCUUAAAAACUUUAAUUAUAAUAACUAAAGUUGUUUCCAAAGAACAAAUAUGAAAAUGUAAUUCUUUGCAGAGGUGUGGUGCAUGAGUGUGGAAGACUACAUAUCCUAUCAUACAAAAAAAAAAUGUACCAGUGAAUUUGGCUGAUUUUUUUUCUUCUUUUUUUUUCUUCCCUUGGUUAUAAGGAGUGGUUCUCUAAAUAGGGGAGGGGGGGACA
This is a non-coding RNA of Phascolarctos cinereus (koala), 2542 nucleotides long. NCBI's taxonomy places the organism in Eukaryota, Metazoa, Chordata, Mammalia, Diprotodontia, Phascolarctidae. The record is from RefSeq and is a predicted model, not a curated record.